Molecule: long non-coding RNA, 1094 nt
Organism: Triticum dicoccoides
Lineage: Eukaryota; Viridiplantae; Streptophyta; Magnoliopsida; Poales; Poaceae
Exons: 4
Source: RefSeq, a predicted model, not a curated record
CCCUCGUGUUGAUUAAUUUUUCUCCUAUGUAACCAAAUUCAUGUACUGAAUCUUUGCUUAUCUAAGGGUUUCAAUACUUACCCAACUCCGCUAUGCACUGAUGGUUACUCAAUGAUUGAUCGUCGGAUGGUACUCUGUCUUCUAUUCUGAUUGUUCCUGAUUAGUAAAAUGGAGCUCGUAAAGAACCAUGGAGGUUUGUGUUAAGUGACUGCCAGAUCUCUUGCUGUUCAUCGAUUGCUCUUCCUGGUCCUCCCUCUUCGCUGCGCCUUUCAUCACCGCCAAGCUCCUAGAGUGCUUGUGUGUAAAACUGACGACUUUGGCUGUGAUGGUCUUGGACGAACUUGUCAAGCAAGGUUCAUCUGGCUCUGCUUCAUCCACCAACAAAAAAUUGUCUCCUCCUACAAAGGUUGACCAUACCACUUUGACAAUUUCUGCAAGAAUGAUUCUUGAUAUUAUGUUGGAGUAUCUUGGGAUUCCUAAAGCUAUUUAUCAGAGAAGGAUCUACUCGCAGAACACAAUAUCUGUCACUAUGCUUUUCUAUACCUCUACUCACAGCGCUGGUGCUUCUCCAUCACAAAUGAUUAUUACAGGGGUUCGAUCUGCCAACGAAGAGAUAGCAGAGGAUCCCGCUGCGGUGGAGGCUUUAGAUACAUGGAACGCGCUACAGGUGUUGUUGUGAAGGACCUAAGUUAUGGACGACUAGAGAAAAUGCAACAAGAGAAUGGUUUUCUAAAGCUUCAACUUGAUGAAGCUUUUGACAUGAUCAACAAGCUAGUCAGGCUUUGUAUGCUUGCUGUUAGAUACAUGCCCUCCUUCUCAAACCAGCUCCAGAAUGUCAUGGAAAUUGGCUUUCCUCCCACACGUCUUGGAAAUUGGCAUUUCUACACACUUCCAACCAGAGCCCUCUAGGGUUUCCUUUCGCCGCCAUGCGCGGCUGCGAGCGAUGCAGGCUGUACGAGAAGCAUCUCCUGGAGGUACACGGUCACACAAAGACCACGACCUCGGCAGCCACCUCGGCGAAACUCGGCCGCCACCAGAUCCGCAAGAAACGAACACACCGACGCCAGCAACAUGCUCCGGUCGCACUCAACGAC